CAUCACUUGUCUGCACUCUAUUCCUCCACCCAUGUCUUCACACAUCUGCUAACUGCCACGUAGACAGAGGUUGUACUUUUCUAUAAAAGCUGAAACCCAACUCCGUUUGUUGGGCUCCUAACUCUGCACCAUUGAGUGAUUUGUUUACCGCUUCAGAUUUAAAAGUCUUAUAAUAAAGUUGAUGUUUUAAGAAUCUACAGUCUCUCUUCAUUUGGGUUAGAAUUUCCACAACAAUUCUUGGAGACAAGGAUGAGAUGUCUAAUUCCGCUUGCUGAUCGUUCCCAGGGACACCAACGUUAACUGUGCAUAGAGGCUAGGUAAGACGUGGCUCAGGGAGCCUACACUCCGAUUGAGAGGAGCAGAAGGAAACUGCCUCGGACCCGGCAGGGAGUGAGGCGCCAUCCCGAAAAUACAGAGUUAUGGGGCCGGAUCGAGGAACGGGAAUGCAGACGCGCUGUCCCGACAGGACCAAGAUGGUGCGUCUGGAGCCAGACCCUCCGGUGAGGUCCUGGGGGGGAAAGUAUGUGGAAGGCCCACCAGAGGGCAGGCUGGGCUCACGGAUAGUAGCCCAACAAGGCAUGGGAGACAAGGGUAAAAGCUGCUUUAGCUGGACCACUCCACAAACUUCAGCCAGGCGAUUGGGUGGUCAUCAAGGACCACCGCAGAAAGACUAGGCACCAACAGCGCUGGACUGGUCCAUUCCAGGUGCUCCAGACAACACAGACAGUGGUGAAGGAUGCAGAGGUCUACUUAGGUUCACGUCAGCCACUGCAGGGAGGUUCCCCACAACCCAGGUGACGAAUUGUCGUUGGCGACUCUAGUGGCCACGGGAAGACCAGGACUGGACUCUAAGCAUAAUUUCGUACACUAGAGUUGAGGAACAAUAGGAAAGUAAUUCAGUUUUGAAAGUUGAUAAACUUAACCUCACUUUUGAAAAAAUGGCCCUUGAAUGUUUUGGUAAACCUACUGGAGAGCUCUUAUUUGUCUACACCCAUUCAGCAUUGUUCACACCCUCUUAAGCCUUAACCCCGCUCAACAUUUUAAGGAUUAACAUGUGAGGCCAUGUACUAAACAACCAAAGAUUUCAAGAAUAGAGGCUGGUUUAUACUACUGGUGUAUUUGUACAUUGUUAUGGGGAUUAACAUGGUUAAGGUAAUGGUAAGAUAAUGACUAAAUGAUUAAUACGUUCCAAUUCAUGUUAAGGCCAUAACUAACAGUAUUCCACCCUGUCACUGUAUAAUGGAGUAAAAUGUGUUUGAAUCAUAAGACUAGAAUUCAUGAUUGUAUGUGCAUAAAAAAGAGGAACUGUUACCAGACAAGAGACUGUGGCAGACAACUUGUGACAAUUGUGACAACUGUGAAACUGAUAACAGGGAAGGAGGUCUCCCCACCCAGGAAGGGGAGAAACCGUUGGGCUUGCAGUAGAUUGUGUAACAUGUUGCAGGAUAUGAUAAGCAAGGUAUGUGUUGGAGAAACCUUGUAAACAGCAUUGACAGUGUUAGAGGGGCAUUUAUAUUACCAAAUGUGAGGUAUAAAAGGCUAUGUGCAUUGUAUGAUUUUUAACGCUCUCGUGAAUAAACCUUCUGACUAUUAUAA
RNA transcript from Oncorhynchus mykiss (rainbow trout), 1596 nucleotides. RefSeq lists it as uncharacterized. The record is from RefSeq and is a predicted model, not a curated record. Lineage: Eukaryota; Metazoa; Chordata; Actinopteri; Salmoniformes; Salmonidae.